GACGGAGGAUGCAAGCGUUAUCCGGAAUGAUUGGGCGUAAAGCGUCCGCAGGUGGCAGUUCAAGUCUGCUGUCAAAGACCGGGGCUUAACUUCGGAAAGGCAGUGGAAACUGAACAGCUAGAGUAUGGUAGGGGCAGAGGGAAUUCCCGGUGUAGCGGUGAAAUGCGCAGAUAUCGGGAGGAACACCAAUGGCGAAGGCAGCUCGCUGGGACGGUACUGACGCUGAGACGCGAAAGCGUGGGGAGCGAACAGG
Molecule: ribosomal RNA, 253 nt
Filed under: uncultured bacterium
Lineage: Bacteria
Description: partial 16S ribosomal RNA
Rfam family: Bacterial small subunit ribosomal RNA
Source: RNAcentral